CUCACCUUAUCUCUCUUAUCUAUAGAAUGGUUAUUGGUUGUUUUGCAUCUACACUACCUAAAAAUGAAAAAGUUAUGUCUAUUAUAUGCAAAGACGUGUUCUUUCACCUAGUAAGGGCUAAAAAAAAGAAUUAGGGCUUUUGUACUAUACUUUACCUCUGAAAGAAAAGAAGUUCUUUUGUGAUCCUUAUGAAAAGGGGCAUGAUGGGAAAAAGAAAGAAAAUAAGAAGGACUUUCAAAGGAAUCCUGGCUCUCCAGCCCAACUCCUCACUUAGAAGCAGGGCCUGCAUUCCUUCCCCGCCCUCCCAGAGCACCAUUCCCACCUGGUCCUCUUUCUCCACAGCUCACAGACCUCUCCUGACCUCUCCCCAGCUCACAUUUCCUUGGAAAAAAACAGAAAAAAAAUCACAAUCACCUGACCACUCACCACAAACCUGACCCCUUACCUCCAUCUGUGCACUCACGCUCCACCCUCCUCUCUGCUACAAUAAAAACUUCUAUAGGUCCAUCAAAGGCCAUCCACCAUUUGUGGUUUGGAUUCUGUCUCCUGCCCAAAAAGGUGGGGUUCUGAAAACAGCACUCUCCUCUCUACUUCAUAAUAAAUUUCUACUUCUUCAAUUCAUUGCUCCCGUCAGUACAAAUAUACUGUUGUCCACCUUAAAAAGCGAAAUUCUCCCGUGGCCUCUGUUCCCCUUCAGGGACAGCCUUAUUUCUCUGCUCUCUGACACAGUAAAACUUCAGAAUCUCACCUCUCAAUUUUCUUCUCUGCCUAGUCCAACUGGGCUUCUGUUUUCACCACUGCACUCAAACAUCCAUCUCCGUCUUGCUAAAUCCCAAAGUCGUCAUCUGAGCCCUCCCUCCCCACCUGCUUGUUUAACACUUGUUUCUCGAGGCUCAAUGACGACCAUGCUCUCCUAAUUUUCCUUCCACCUCACUGGCCCCUCCUUCUCUCUGCCUGGCCCCUAAAUCUAGGCCUGUUAGAAUGGAUAUACUGCAUAAUGCUGGAAAACUCAUCAGCUUACUUCUGUAGGAAGACCUGGAGGACACUCCGUUUACCAAAGCAAUAAGGAACGCGCUGAGGAGCUCCAGCCUUGCUGAGAAGACCAGUGAUCAGCUGUCCUCUGUAGACCAGGGCUGAGGUCUCUGCACCACUAGACCAAGAAAGGAACAACUGAAGAAAUUCCAGGAGCCGCUUCCCUUACCCUUGUCCCACUUGAGAAAUAAAACAAUGUGUUUUCGAUGUCUCCAUUA
Molecule: long non-coding RNA, 1250 nt
Organism: Equus caballus (horse)
Lineage: Eukaryota; Metazoa; Chordata; Mammalia; Perissodactyla; Equidae
Source: RefSeq, a predicted model, not a curated record